This 287-nucleotide non-coding RNA is filed under the name Symbiodinium sp. CCMP2430. Lineage: Eukaryota; Dinophyceae; Suessiales; Symbiodiniaceae. The record is from RNAcentral.
GAAGAGAGAAAAGAAACGAAAUGAAAGAGGAAAUGGUAAGUGAAGAAUGAGUGCACGCAUUUCUCUCUUUCGUUUCUUUUCUUCUCAUUCGUCCUUCAUUCCCUUCACUUCACUUCUUUGUUCCAUUCCAUUAAAAUCACGCACUCAUUCCAUUCCAUUACAUUUCAUUUGUAUUUUAAUGAAACGGAAUGAAGUGAAGUGGAAUGGAAGGGAAAUGAGAAGUGGUUUGUUUCUCUUCUUACACUUCCAUUCCUUCUCUCACAUUACAUUAUAAAUGAAUAGUGAAG